Molecule: unclassified non-coding RNA, 349 nt
Filed under: Hevea brasiliensis (rubber tree)
Lineage: Eukaryota; Viridiplantae; Streptophyta; Magnoliopsida; Malpighiales; Euphorbiaceae
Source: RNAcentral
AUAUAAGCUUGUUCUCCUAAAGGUAUGAGUACUUCUUCUGCUAUGACCUAGUAUAAUUAUUGGUUCUAUUUGCAUGCGUAAUCUGCCAUGAGGAAUAGCAUCCAAUAUUUUAAAAUAGACAUGCCCUAAUAGUUGGUAUAGAAGAUUUUAUUUACUUAUAUAGUGGAAGAAAACAAAUGCAGAGAAGAGGAAGGGUAGGAAAAAAUAAAAAAGAUAAACAAAGUUGACAGAUCUUCUAUGGAUAGAUUAGAAAAAGAAAAAGCUGAAUUUGACAUUGUUGAAUGAUAAGUCUGGCCAUUAGAUUUUGAGUUGCUUGUUCAAGCAGCAUAAUUAAGCACCAGAAAUAGUU